Molecule: ribosomal RNA, 484 nt
Filed under: uncultured bacterium
Lineage: Bacteria
Description: partial 16S ribosomal RNA
Rfam family: Bacterial small subunit ribosomal RNA
Source: RNAcentral
AUUGAACGCUGGCGGCAUGCUUUACACAUGCAAGUCGAACGAUUAACCUUAGCUUGCUCAUGGAAUUAGUGGCGAACGGGUGAGUAAUGUAUCGGAACGUGCCUUGUAAUGGGGGAUAACUAGUCGAAAGGUUAGCUAAUACCGCAUACGCCCUGAGGGGGAAAGUGGGGGAUCUUCGGACCUUACGUUAUCAGAUCGGCCUAUAUCUGAUUAGCUAGUUGGUGGGGUAAUGGCCUACCAAGGCGACGAUCAGUAGCUGGUCUGAGAGGAUGACCAGCCACACUGGAACUGAGACACGGUCCAGACUCCUACGGGAGGCAGCAGUGGGGAAUUUUGGACAAUGGGCGCAAGCCUGAUCCAGCCAUGCCGCGUGAGUGAAGAAGGCCUUCGGGUUGUAAAGCUCUUUCGCAAGGGAAGAAAAGCUACCAUCGAAUAAAUGGUGAGGCUGACGGUACCUUGAUAAGAAGCACCGGCUAACUACGUG